Molecule: long non-coding RNA, 239 nt
Filed under: Elaeis guineensis (African oil palm)
Lineage: Eukaryota; Viridiplantae; Streptophyta; Magnoliopsida; Arecales; Arecaceae
Description: long non-coding RNA (EGUI_LNC044381)
Source: RNAcentral
GAUAUUCGGCCUCCUCCUGACUCCGAGAGCUUCUGGAUCUCCUCGCCCCCAUGUCCUUGGGCAAUCACCUGCUGAUCAUAGAUGGGCAAAUAUGGGAGUCAAGCCAAGCACUCGAUCCCAUCUCCAUCGUACGCUAUGCUCCUCUUGACCUGAGACCUGCUCGGGGCAUCAUCCUGCGGUAAUAGGAAUCUCAUCUUGCGACGUCGCUUCUCGUCCUCCCAAGUCUCCUGUCUCAUGCC